Molecule: ribosomal RNA, 508 nt
Filed under: uncultured Actinomycetes bacterium
Lineage: Bacteria; Bacillati; Actinomycetota; Actinomycetes
Description: bacterial SSU rRNA
Rfam family: Bacterial small subunit ribosomal RNA
Source: RNAcentral
CGAAAGCCUGACGCAGCGACGCCGCGUGAGGGAUGAAGGCCUUCGGUUGUAACCUCUUUCAGCGCCGAAGAAGCGAAAGUGACGGUAGGCGCAGAAGAAGCACCGGCUAACUACGUGCCAGCAGCCGCGGUAAUACGUAGGGUGCAAGCGUUGUCCGGAAUUAUUGGGCGUAAAGAGCUCGUAGGCGGUUUGUCGCGUCUGCUGUGAAAACUCGGGGCUUAACUCCGGGCUUGCAGUGGGUACGGGCAGACUAGAGUGCGGUAGGGGAGACUGGAAUUUCUGGUGUAGCGGUGAAAUGCGCAGAUAUCAGGAGGAACACCGGUGGCGAAGGCGGGUCUCUGGGCCGUAACUGACGCUGAGGAGCGAAAGCGUGGGGAGCGAACAGGAUUAGAUACCCUGGUAGUCCACGCCGUAAACGUUGGGCGCUAGGUGUGGGGCUCUUUCCACGAGUUCCGUGCCGCAGCAAACGCAUUAAGCGCCCCGCCUGGGGAGUACGGCCGCAAGGCUA